This 502-nucleotide ribosomal RNA is filed under the name uncultured bacterium. Its description in RNAcentral is "partial 16S ribosomal RNA". It matches the Rfam family "Bacterial small subunit ribosomal RNA", at positions 30 to 523 of the family's 1533-position model. The record is from RNAcentral.
AUUGAACGCUGGCGGCAGGCUUAACACAUGCAAGUCGAGCGGGGUGAUGGUGCUUGCACUAUCACUUAGCGGCGGACGGGUGAGUAAUGCCUAGGAAUCUGCCUAUUAGUGGGGGACAACAUCUCGAAAGGGAUGCUAAUACCGCAUACGUCCUACGGGAGAAAGCAGGGGAUCACUUGUGACCUUGCGCUAAUAGAUGAGCCUAAGUCGGAUUAGCUAGUUGGUGGGGUAAAGGCCUACCAAGGCGACGAUCUGUAGCGGGUCUGAGAGGAUGAUCCGCCACACUGGGACUGAGACACGGCCCAGACUCCUACGGGAGGCAGCAGUGGGGAAUAUUGGACAAUGGGGGAACCCUGAUCCAGCCAUGCCGCGUGUGUGAAGAAGGCCUUAUGGUUGUAAAGCACUUUAAGCGAGGAGGAGGCUCUUUUGGUUAAUACCCAAGAUGAGUGGACGUUACUCGCAGAAUAAGCACCGGCUAACUCUGUGCCAGCCGCCGCUGUAA